AUUCUCUUUCCAACAGCAUUUCUAUAGUAAACGACCCUACUCUGUAGUUUUUACGAAAGCGACAUGAGUCCCAACCUUGCUGAUGACCCUAAUGUCCUCGAUGCCCUAAAGUGAAGCCUUUUUUUACUCUCGCCUAUAUUUUGGCAGCGAUGAUGAUACUUGACAAUGCUUCGGUGUUUGAUUGAAUCUCAUCCUGUUGAUUUAGAGAGUGGUGAUGAUCUUUACCUCGUCGUGGCGUCUGACUUCGGUCGGCCUGGCAAGGUGGGUGUCGAGGAGGUCUGAAAGGU
This is a small nucleolar RNA of Trichophyton interdigitale MR816, 287 nucleotides long. It matches the Rfam family "Fungal small nucleolar RNA U3". From Rfam's summary of the family: Small nucleolar RNAs (snoRNAs) are involved in the processing and modification of rRNA in the nucleolus. There are two main classes of snoRNAs: the box C/D class, and the box H/ACA class. The record is from Rfam. NCBI's taxonomy places the organism in Eukaryota, Fungi, Ascomycota, Eurotiomycetes, Onygenales, Arthrodermataceae.